CCUACGGGUGGCAGCAGUGGGGAAUAUUGGGCAAUGGGCGCAAGCCUGACCCAGCAACGCCGCGUGAAGGAAGAAGGCCUUCGGGUUGUAAACUUCUUUUCUCAGGGACGAAGCAAGUGGCGGUACCUGAGGAAUAAGCCACGGCUAAAUACGUGCCAGCAGCCGCGGUAAUACGGAGGUGGCAAGCGUUAGGCGGAUUUACUGGGUGUAAAGGGCGUGGAGGCGGGACUGCAAGUUAGGUGGGAAAACCAUGGGCUGAAACUAGUGGCCGCAUUGGAAACUGUAGUUCUUGAGUACUGGAGAGGCAGGCGGAAUUCCUAGUGUAGCGGUGAAAUGCGUAGAUAUUAGGAGGAACACCAGUGGCGAAGGCGGUCUGCUGGGCAGCAACUGACGCUGAGGCGCGAAAGCGUGGGGAGCAAACAGGAUUAGAUACCCGUGUAGUC
Molecule: ribosomal RNA, 443 nt
Filed under: uncultured bacterium
Lineage: Bacteria
Description: partial 16S ribosomal RNA
Rfam family: Bacterial small subunit ribosomal RNA
Source: RNAcentral